Molecule: ribosomal RNA, 492 nt
Filed under: uncultured bacterium
Lineage: Bacteria
Description: partial 16S ribosomal RNA
Rfam family: Bacterial small subunit ribosomal RNA
Source: RNAcentral
AGUGAACGCUGGCGGUAGGCCUAACACAUGCAAGUCGAACGGCAGCACAGUAAGAGCUUGCUCUUACGGGUGGCGAGUGGCGGACGGGUGAGGAAUACAUCGGAAUCUACUUUUUCGUGGGGGAUAACGUAGGGAAACUUACGCUAAUACCGCAUACGACCUACGGGUGAAAGCAGGGGAUCUUCGGACCUUGCGCGAUUGAAUGAGCCGAUGUCGGAUUAGCUAGUUGGCGGGGUAAAGGCCCACCAAGGCGACGAUCCGUAGCUGGUCUGAGAGGAUGAUCAGCCACACUGGAACUGAGACACGGUCCAGACUCCUACGGGAGGCAGCAGUGGGGAAUAUUGGACAAUGGGCGCAAGCCUGAUCCAGCCAUACCGCGUGGGUGAAGAAGGCCUUCGGGUUGUAAAGCCCUUUUGUUGGGAAAGAAAAGCAGCAGGUUAAUACCCCGCUGUUCCGACGGUACCCAAAGAAAAAGCACCGGCUAACUUCGUG